CGGUACGCGUAACACGUAGGCAACCCUGCCCCUAAAGUGGGGGGAGUAACAGUCCGAAAGGACUGCUAAUACCGCAUACGGUUUAAUGGAGGCAUCUUCAUAAAACUAAAGGUUUACUGCUUUAGGAUGGGCUUGCGGCCUAUCAGCUAGUUGGUGAGGUAAUGGCUCACCAAGGCGACGACGGGUAGCUGGUCUGAGAGGAUGUCCAGCCGGAUUGGGACUGAGAUACGGCCCAG
RNAcentral lists this ribosomal RNA (236 nucleotides) under uncultured bacterium. Its description in RNAcentral is "partial 16S ribosomal RNA". It matches the Rfam family "Bacterial small subunit ribosomal RNA", at positions 106 to 334 of the family's 1533-position model. The record is from RNAcentral.